Long non-coding RNA from Pongo pygmaeus (Bornean orangutan), 27834 nucleotides. RefSeq lists it as uncharacterized. The transcript is spliced from 2 exons. NCBI's taxonomy places the organism in Eukaryota, Metazoa, Chordata, Mammalia, Primates, Hominidae. The record is from RefSeq and is a predicted model, not a curated record.
AGAGAGGGACCUGAGCAACCACAGCAUCAUGGAAAUCCUGGAGGAGCAGAUGAAUGGCUUCUACAGGGUGUUCUCCAUCCUGAAAUACCCUGUCAAGUAAAAUGAGAAAUAUAUCUGCUACAUAACAGAGACAGAUGUGAACGACCAGCUUUUCAGAAUCAUCCACAAGUACCCAAAUUCUAUCACAUUCUCUAUGUGUCUUUUCAGACUGAAGAAUCUAGGUUGGCUCAGGCCACCUUCACACGGAAGCCUCUCCCCUUCACUGCUGCUCACAUGUCAUCUCCGGAAUGCCUCAUGCUGCCUAUGCUUAGGGCUUUCUUGAGGUGGCCCAGACACAGCAUAGCACACUAGAUGCUUGGUUUCUAUAGAAUGAUCAGUUCCUGUGUUCUGCAAUGGUCUUGUCUAGUCAUAGCAGAAGUAUAGCUGUAUAGUAAGCACUUACAGAGUUAGAAACAUGUUAGGCCUGUUCAUAUAGGACUGAAAAUCAUCUCACAAAGAUCUGUGAGGAUUAGGGAUUCAUCCCUGUUUGCACUGAGGAGACUGUGACUUCAAGAGCUGGGCCAUGACUGAGGUAAGAGUCAGACCCAGGUGGCUCCAACUCUGGUACUUGAGAGAGGUACUUCCGUUCUCAUGGUCCACAGUGACGAGUUGGAGAGUCUCCCCUGUGACAUACCACACUGCCUUCUCAACACAGGAAUACCCAGUGACUCCACUGCUACUGACAGGGUCUUUCGGGCUCCCCAUUACGAAAGCAACACUCCUCAGAGUGAUUCCUGGGAGUUCCCAAGAUAUCUUGUCACUCUUCCUAAAAUGUGUUUUUGUAAGGCUGCCACUAGUUUCAUAAUUUCACCCUUCGGUUUCUUAGGAAAGCCCAAGUGGAAGUUUCUAAUACAGACCAUUUAUCUGCCCUGAAUUAGCUUGUUAGGUUUGAAUAUGGUUCUUGUUUUCUCCUCUCCAAUUGUCUACCUAAGACUUGCCCACUUUGAAGGCCAAUGUAGAGAGUAUAAAUCCUCCAGUCUUCUUCAGUAAUGGCCAAGGAAAAUGAUUUAAACCCAUCAAAAUGCUAUUUGAUGAAUGCCUGUAACAGCAAAACAAAAAAAGAGAACGGUCUGUAAUAAGCAUGGUGCAAGCUCCGUGGCAUAAAUCCAAAAGGAAGGCCUGGGUGCGGUGGCUCACGCCUGUCAUUCCAGCACUUUGGGAGGUUGAGGUGGGAGGAUUACUUGAGCCCAGGAGUUCCAGACCAGCCUGGGCAACAUGGCAAAACCCCGUCUCUACAAAAAAUAAGAUUAGUUGGGCGUGGUGACAUGGGCAUAUAGUCCCAGCUACUCAGGAGGCUGAGGUGAGAAGACUGCUUGAGCCCAGGAGUCUGAGGCUGCAGUGAGCUAGGAUCAUGCCACUGCACUCCAGCCUGGGUGACAGGGUAAGACCCUGUAUCUAAAAAUAACAACAAAAAACCCAAAAAGGAGCAGAGGAUGUAGCUGCCCCCACCACAGGAGUGUCUAACCUAGUUGGGCUGAUGAAACAAGAAUACAGGCCAAUGCAGUCCUAAGUAAUGGGGCCAACUCCAGGAGAUGGGACUUCACAGAAGAGAUGGGACUUGAGCCGAGCUCUUAAGAAAGGUAGGAUCUGGAUGGAACAUCUAUAGGUUUUUGAGCAGGAGAGUGUUAAGAAAAACACUUGAACAGUGGCACAUGGCAAGAAAUGGGUAAGGCGGAAUUGGGGGCAGAAGGAAAUCAGUUGGAACAGGCCUGGGGUGAUGAGAGUUGCAUCUACACUAGUGGUGGCAUGGUUACAGAAGGAAGGGAUCCAAGAGAAAUCUCUACAGAAUAACGAGGUCUGGCAACAUCCUGAAUAGGGAGAGGAAGGAGACAGUCUGGGGGGCUGCCAGAUCUUUGGCUUUGAGGGCCUGGAAGGUUGGUUGUGUGUCUCUGUCAGAGAUGAAGCCUGGGAAAGGUGUCCCGUGAGAGUGGGGUGGGCAAUGAUGAGUCAGUUAUGGACAUGUGUCUCAAGGGACAGUGAAACAUCCCACCGACAGCUGCCAAUAUUGGCUAAAGAUGCAUAUCUGGGCGUCAUCUGUGUAAGGGUGAGAAAUGGAGGCAGAGGAACAAAUGAGCUCAGGAGGAGAGGGUGGGAUGGAAGGCUGAGGGCGGCUAGGGCAUGGAAGGAAAAGGGGGAGCACAGACAGCAGGAAGAACAUUCCACAAGGGGUCUCUGUGCAAAUCAGAAAAGGCACCUUCCUCUCCAGGAGAUGCAGCACAUGGCCAGGGUAUGGGGCUUGGCUAGCAGAGCGUAGCUUGGAUUUCAGCCCCUGUCACCUCCUCAUGCAGUCAGCAGCCUGCACAAUGGUAUGAGAACUCUGACAGCAAAGCAGCCAAGAGAGUAGAUAGAGUAGGAGCAUUCAGAGAACUGAGAGGAAAACCAGGAAGCCUAGAGAGCUCCCAGAAAUGGAUCAUGAAUGCCAUGUACGAGAAAUCAUUUGGCAAAUGUUGGGAUAAAACAGCCAAAAAAAAAAAAAAAAAGCUUUUAAACUUCUGCUGAAACCUGAACUAGUAACCUGGAGUGUAAGCCAGGCAGAGGCAGUGAUGUCCUGUGUAAGAAUAAUUAAUGCAGGAGGACUGAAAUGGGCCCUGGAUAUAUCUCUACCUCUAACAUAUGGUGUGACAUGGGGCAAGGUGCUUGACCUCUCUGGGCCUCAGUUUCCUCAGCUAUAAAAUGCAGAGGUUAUAGAUGAUGCCUAAGUCCCUUAAGCUGUAAGAAUUCUAUUAAUUAGAAAGCUCAGGAAUUUACCACUUCAGAUGUUCCUGAAUAUCAAACUUCACUCUCCCAAGGAAGCUAACCUAAAUGGCCAAACUAAAGAAAGUGGUUAUGUAUACAGUCACAUGAGGGUGUUUCAGGGUUUUUGCUGGGUUCUGAAGGGGGGAUUAAAGUUGGCUCUCAUAGUCAAAGGAUUCUCAUAAGCAAUGCCUUUUCAUUCCCUCCCAGAUCAUGGCAGAGGGAAUCAGGGAAGCAGUAAUGGAACCCCAAUUGAGUGUCCUGAUUUUGUUUCUAGUGAACUGGCUGGAACCCUCUACUCCCCUAGAAUGCUAUUAAUAAAGUUUUUAUUCUACUUGCAUUUGCCUUGCAAGGAGAAAAGGGAAGAAAAGAAAGGAGAGAAAGGCUAAAGGAAAUUCACAUGCGAUACACAAUUCUUCAUUCCUGCCAAGAACCUGUCACUGAAGUAUGUCUGGGGCUGCCAGGGCUCACAUUUACUCAGCAUUCAUGCUCUAAUUAUUUCCACAUGUAGUUCAAGGAAAAUGGUUGAUCAAAAGUUUAAAAAAAAAAAAAUCCCACACACCUAAAUCCCAGUACCUUCAAAUGAAAGAAGGGAGAAAGCUCUAGGGCAGCUGUGGGAAAAUUCUCAAGACAGGCAGUUUUAGAAGCAUCCCCUGCAGUGCCUGCCACAUCUGGGCCAACAUCCCUACACAUUCCCAUCCCUCCAUCCCGUACAAGCCCACCCUCCACCCACUCCCAGCUUCCCAAGCCCUGAACCCAUUAGGAUUUGCAUUCUUUGGAGUUCCAAGUGGAAUGUAGGAUUUAUUCCCCUGAUACGGUGGAAGGCAGAUGAGACGGAUAUUGCCUAAGAGGUAUCUAGUUCUCCACUCCACCCAUUUUUGCCUUGGUGUCACUGAAUUUAAGUAGUCCCUGGGUGGUUCCUGAUACCACACACCUGCUGGGAAUGGAAUCCACUGUGGCAGAGAGCUUGCUUGCUUCCCUGAGCUGGAACAGUACCCCCAUCACUUCUGUGGCUGCUUUCCAUUACCCCAAUUUGCGCAUGAUUCCCCCUAAACCUGCAAGCUAAGCCACUAUUCUCCAUGGUGGUCCCCAUGCCCUGGCACUGAGUUGGAUGCCCAACACUGUCACCUACUGCCUUCUACCUGGGCACUGUUAACAAAGUCUUUGGCACAUGGCACAGGGCGUUUGUCCUCUCUCCUGGGUGACUUCAUUGUUCAUGUAGCCUCGAGAUCCGUGGACUCCUCACUUUGAGCAACCCUCCACUUCUUAGGGACCCUGGCUACUGAGAGCUUUGGGAAGUGUCUGUGAGCAGAGCAGGUAGCCACAGCAGAUUUAAGCUGUAAGUGGACUAAAAUUUAAAAAAAGGGUCUAGGGCUCCCAAGGCUCCAUGUUUUGAAAUGAAAACUCAUUAGCCUUUGAAAAUGUCAGCAUGAUGAGGAAUUGUCAGAUGCUUCUUUAAACUUCAGAUGGGCAGAGAAUGUCCCACAAGACCACCUAAAAAAUAAUGUCACCAUCUGGGAAGUCUGAUUUGUUGUCUGGCUUGCUCAAAUUCUCCCUGUCCUUCAAGGCUUGGGUCAAGUUACACCACUUCAUCCUCAGUGACCUUUUACUUUCUACUGGUAUGAAUUCCCCCUUCCUUCUCUGAACUUUGAUUCCUCUUUGUAUGAACUCAUUUUGAUCACUUAUUUUUUUUAAAAACAGAACUAAUUGUGUGGAUUUUGUCUUUCUGGCUGACCUAUAAGCUCCUAGAGGACAAAGAUUCUGUUUGUCCAUCCUUUUGUAGGACCUAGCAUAGUACCUUGUGCCACUCCAUUAACCUUUGUUGAAAGCAAAAAAAGGUGGAUUGAACCACACUGCCCUGGGGACUUGGGAUAGGGACAGAGAGGAACAACACCUGUGCCAACUCCUUUCCUGGGGCUGCUCCCUCCCAGAACUGGUCUUCUUUGAGGAAAUACCCUGAAGACCCUGCCCUCCACCACCAGGCCAUAUAUAUUAAGCUUGGAAUUUCACUAAUUAGAGAUUGUCUUAGGCCCACAGAAAGACAUUAAAGAGUGUGUUUGUGCACGUGUGUGUGCAUGCAUAUGUGUGUUAAUGAGGUAGAACAGCAACGGAGGACUAAAAUGGCUUUCAGUCAUUUCCUUUGUCCACAGUUUAAAUAUAUAACCUAACUGAGACAUGCUGAGAGAAUGAGAAUUUGGUGAAGAGGAAGAUAAGGUAAUGUGGGAAUGUGGGGUACCUUAGAGCAAAGCAAAAUUGGGUGAGAUUUCUGAGUAUAGGGUAGGGGCAGCCAAAGAGCUGCCUGAUACCUUGGGGGCCUAUACUAGGGGAAGUAGAGAUGAAGAGAAGCAAGUGAGAAGAAGGCAGGAGAAACUGCGGAAAUGGGCUUAUUAUCUGAGGCCAGUGCUUUGCGUGAACUCUUCUGAGGAACCCCGCCCUUACACUGUCUUCUGAGGUAGAGGGAGGAAGGCUGGCCAACAUUCCUAGACCAGGAAAAAAGCUUCUUGCCUUGCUCUACCCCUCCUCCACUCCCAAAAUAUUCUGGGGAUCUCUAACUCCUCCCCUCUGGCUCAUCCACUAGGCUGACCUCGCAGUGGGCUGGAAUACACUGAAACACGAGUUGCCAGGGGACAGCAAGGCCUUAGGUGUGCCCACGUGGUUUAUCUCCCCUUGGAUUGGGCACAUUAAUAGGAACUGUGAUGCCCAACCAAAAGGUGAGACCAUCUGAUACAAUGGUGGAGGCUGGGGGGCUAGUAGGGAUGUCAGGGUUGACUGAAACAAAAUGGAUCUGGGAGACCCAGCAUAGCAAAGUAGCACCAGUCUCCACUUUAAAAACAAGGACAGGCCGGGCACAGUGGCUCACACCUGUAAUCCCCGCCCUUUGGGAGGCCUAGGCAGGUGGAUCACUUGAGGACAGAAGUUUGAGACCAGCCUGGCCAACAUGGUGAAACCCCCCUCUCCAUUAAAAAUACAAAAAUUAGCUGGGUGUGGUGACUUGCACCUGUAAUUCCAGCUUCCCUGGAGGAUGAGGCACGAGAAUCGCUUGAACCUGGAAGGCGGAGGUUGCAAUGAGCCUAGAUCGCACCACUGUACUCCAGCCUGGGUAACGGAGUGAGACUCUGUCUCAGACAAAAAACAAACAACAACAACAACAAAAAACAGGGACAAAGUCCUGGGAAUCUCUGGGGGUAGUGUGGCUGCAAAGCAGUUAAGGUUCCAGCAUCCUGGCAAUUAUUCUCUAGCCUAAGGAUGCAGACAGGGUUAAAACCCAGCAAGAAACUCCAAGCUAAAUGAAGUCGCCAUAUGUGUGGCUCAGUAGGGUUCUAGGAGAAGCAGACAGAUGUAAUUAGAAGUUCUCAGACAUUGUGUUGCCACAGCAACUGCUGGCCAGGAAGAAAGUGGGGAAAACCUGGAGUCCGAGGAAUACAGUCUUCCAAGGAAAUGCCAGUGGUGUUCAUCAUGCUUGGGCUUCAUGGCUGGCUCCUCCAGCUUGCCCAUGCCCAGGCUCUAGAAGGCCCUCUCCCUCAAAUUCCUCCUAAUCCCCAUUCCCACCCCUGGAGCAACUUCAAAUGCAAAUCAAGGGCUCCCUUCAGAGGGCAUCCAAAGGAAGGAAUGAGGAACUCUCAGAGGAGAGUUUGUGCAGAAGAGUAAUCUCUGGUCCCUGGGACUUUCUGGAGCUGAGUGAGGAUCAGUGAGGGAGGCUGCAAGUUUAAUUUAUGCAUCACUCUGGGGCACCUGUGAGUGUGGCCUUUGGCCAUAUAUUUUAUCAUCCAAAUGGGGACAUUUGAGAGUUAAAGGAAACCUUUUAAACAGGCAUACUUGGACAACAGGCCUAAACUGUGACACAUGGUCACCUUAAUUACUAGGCUGCCUAUGGGAUGGGAAAAUUUGUGGUUUUUAUUUUAGAGAGUGAGGAUGCUAACCUGGUAUCUAUGGGCCCCCAGAAACCCACCCAUAAAUUUUGGGACUGGAUUUUCAAGGGGGCAUGAAUUUUUCAAUACUCAAAAGACCCACACUCAAACCCAAUAACCUAGGAAAGACAAACCCUAAUUUACUGCUCUGGCAUGAACUGCCUUUUGUAGCCUUCAUCUCCCUUGAUUCAACAGCCACAGGAGGAUUUUCGGGGGUUCUGCUGCUGGGAAGCUGGGGAGCCUCAGCAGAUGGGACCAUCUUUGCUUCUAAGUCUUGAUCAUUACAAAUCCUUCCAACUACUCCUCUAAAGAGACAAUCAUUCAUUUCACACGUUGUCACCUAAGGGAGAUAGUUCCCUAUUCAUUGUUUACAGCAAUAAAGUGGUCAGUGGAGUGGGAUCAUUCCACAGCAGUGAGACCUAAUAAAUCUGCCCCUGAAGGGGAGUGGUUUCCAGGAGUGCAUUCUUACACAUUCUUUAACAUCUGAACUGAAAACAGUGGCACAGGGAUCCUGUAGUCAUGAAAUCGGGGAAAGAUCAGGCUCUCCCAGGGCACCAGCAGAAAUGACUAUGUUUUAGGCAUAAGAUAGCCAGCCUAGAUAUUAUGAGCAUGUGGUUCAGCCACAGGCUCAGUUACAAAACUGUAGGAUGUUUAAAGGGUAAGGCCCACCCAGAGUGUGUCUCCUAGAAUUUUCUCAAAGACUUUGGGAAUCACAGCCAUCUGGUAGGAGUUUCUGACAGUUACUCAUUGACUCAGGCUGGUGGUGGCCCUCUUCUCAACCCUGGUUUAAGGCUGGGAGUCCCUGGGCCAACAUGCCUAAUUUAUUGCACCUAUUACUCAGACAGGUCCUGAAAAGUAGAGCACAAGUUUCUGAGCUGAGUUUGGAACUUCUCAAGAUUUCUGGGGUGGUCAGGAGGGGCUCCUUAAAACCUGUAAGCAUCAAUUUUAACACCAUUGUUCUCUGCUAGUCAUGGGUGUCAGGAAGUUCUGGCACCCUCUACAGGUCCCCUGGAUUUUAAUAGUCUAGUUUAGAGGAAUGUUAAUCUUUGUGGAACAAACUAAGAACUACAUAAAAUCAGUUCCUUUGAAAAGAAAAGCAACAAUCCAAACACAAAUUAAUCUGCAUUUCCUUAUCAUUAUCUAACAUGGAAAUAGAUGAAAUCUAUAAGUAAUAUACAGGACAAUCAAACAAAAAAAUACCAAACUUCAUGCCAAGUGCCAGGGGCUCAAGGAAGAGUAAAGCAGUUUGUGUCUCUAAGGAGCUUGUAGCUUAGGUGAGAAGCUAGGGGAAUGAAUAUAUGCAAUUUUAAAUAACAGAACAACACAAUCUAAUAAGAGAUAACUCAAGACAAUGUUUGGCUAUGGUUAAGUGACAACUGUCUAGAGUAGUGCUGUCCAACAGAAACAGAAUAUCCAUCUCAUACAGAAUUUAAAAUUUUCUAGUAGGUACAUUUUUUUUUGAGACGAAGUCUCAAUCUAUUGCCCACGCUGGAGUGCAGUGGCAUGAUCUCAGCUCACUGCAAAUUCUGCCUCCUGGGUUCAAGCAAUUCUCCUUCCUCAAUCUGCUGAGUACCUGGGAUUACAGGUGCCUGCCACCAUGCCCGGAUAAUUUUUGUGUUUUUAGUAGAGACAGGGUUUCACCAUGUCGGCCAGGCUGUUCUUGAACUCCGGACCUCAAGUGAUCCACCACCUCGGUCUCCCAAAGUGCUGGGAUUAUAGUUGUGAGCCACCGCACCCGACCUCUGGAAGGUACCUUUUAAAAACUCAAAAGAAAUAAGGUGAAAUUAAGUGUAAUCACUUAUUUUAAGAAAAGAUAUCCAAAAUAUUACCAUCUCAACAUGUAAUCAAUAAUAUGGAGAUAUUUUAUACUUUUUUUUCAUACUAAGUCUUUGGAAUCUGGUAUGUCUUUUACACUUACAGUACAUCUAAAUUGGACUAGCCACGUUGCAAGUGCUCCAUAGCCACUGCAGCUAGCAGCUAUCGGCAUUGAACAGCACAGUUCUAAACAGUUAUGGGUGGAUGCGGUGGCUCACGCCUGUUAUUCCAGCACUUUGGGAGGCCAAGGCGAGACGAUUCCUUGAGGCCAGGAGUUUGAGACCAGCCUGGGCAAUAUAGCAAGACUCUGUCUCUUAAAAAAAAAAAAAAGAGAAAAAAGGAAAUAAAAAUAGUUCUGACCUCACUGCAUCAGAGGAGGAGGGUUUGAGGAGAAAGAGUAAGACCUUCCUUAACUUGGAAUACUUUUGAAGUGGUGUAUAACUAAAGUCAAUAGAGAUUAUCUGAACAUACAGGCAAGGCAGCAUGUCAGGCUGCAUCUGGGACCAGCAUACUGAGUAAUGAGGACCUAGUCCUUCGAAAAUGGGCAGGCGUCAUGGGCACUUAGGCUGAAUUCUGGCUGUUUUCAAUGCCUGUGGACAAGUCAUUUCACCCUUCUGGUCUCCUCUAUAAGAAAGGUAAAAUGUUUGGUACUUCCUCUCUAUAAGACUUUUUAUGGCUUAGCUCAGAAACAACGACAAAAUAGCUACUUAAGCUGUACAUAUUUGGAGCCUUCUCUUAGCUAAAUAUGCUUUUUUGGGGGCAUACAAAUCCAUGGACAAAUUUGGCAAUGAGAUAGAUAUAUCUUUUCAAAACCUUUUUAAAAAAUUUUCUUGGCUUGACUGCUACACUCUCUUGCUGCCAGCUUUCAAUAUUACACACACACAAACACAGUUUCAGUGCCUUGAGAUUAAAGUCAAUGAAAACAUGCACAUUCUAUUCUUCUUGAGACAUUCCUGCCUUGCAUUCCUUCCUUGAAGCAGUUGGGAUGUCACAGCUGGGGGGAAGGAGCUGUAAAACCUACUUAUCCUGGCCAAUCAGGCCUUGGCUGACAGGAGGCCCACCAAUGAGGGACUGCCAGGUAUUACGUUCCACUGCAACAAAUUCCCCAUUUUUUCAGAAAUUAAAACCCUCCGAGACCCUCAAGCUGUACACAAUGCACAAAGACCUCCUUUUUUGUUCAUUCUGUUUUCCCCCAAGGACUGCAUUAGAAACUCUACACAAAAAUGUACUAGCUUAGUUGCUAUAGAUAGAUUAUCAUUUGUGGUAAAAACACUUCCAAGUAUCAUGUAACAAUAUUGUUCUCACAGCUCUGGUAUCCUUCAUUUUAACUGUGUAAACACUGGAGAAAUGCCACAUAUUUAACUGUUUGGGGUCACCCUGAGAAACUCCCAACUCCACUGAAAAAUGAAGUAGUAUGCUCUGGUAAGUCCGGGAACUCUGACUUAAGGAGUUAAGGCGACAGGUAAGUGGAGGUGGUUGGCUCCCGGGGACUUCACCCAAUGCUGACCACUGUGUUAGUGGUGGAACGUUUCCCAGAAUGAGACUUCGCCUCUGAGAUCUUAAUGUGCAAAUCCAGUGACACUGAAUGCCUUUUUCUUUGUUUUAUCCAUACUGGAAACAUCACAGUUGCCAUUCAAAUGAAACCAGAGAGAGAGUAACAGCAGGAAGGAUCCAAAAAAGUAAAGGUUUCAGCAAAAGGUGAGGUCAAAAGACAAAGGUGACUAGUGACUAUGGGCAAAGAAUUACCAACAACAGAAUUUAAUGCUUUAUUUCAUAUUCCUUGGGACAUUAGCUUCCUCUGGGAAUGGUGCCAAGUUAUAUUAAAAUUGCUGAUCAUGGAAGGAAAGAAUAAAAAUAUUUACUAUUCAGCUAGCCUCUGCUUAACUUCCAACGUCACCUGGGCCUGAGAGAAUUAGAAUCCAGGUGUCUGAUUAAGCAAGCCCAGCACUACCAUUAUGUCCAAGAUUAAGCAAACUGUUGACGGGCAAGUGCUGUCAACCAUCUUCCCAGAUGCACAAUAUUCUUGCAGAAUAGGGCACAGAGAUGACUAUCAUUAAGAUACAAAGAUUGUAGGCACCUCUUCAUAUUGCAUAUGAGACAUUUGGCCUUAUUAAUCCAUUUAGCUAGUGGAUUAAUUCAACAAAUAUUUACUAAGCAUCUACUUACACUAAGCACAACUGGUUCUAGGUAUUAGAGAUCCACUGCAGAAUGAGAGAGACAAAGCCUCUGUUCUAAACGAGUACAUGCUCUAGAGGGAGGAAGGCUAAUAAACAAACAAAAAUACCAGUUCAUUUCAGCCUGUGAUCAGUAAGUUUAGAGGAAAAUAGAGUAUGUAUGACAGAACUCUGGGAGAGAGGGCACCACUUAGAUUGAGUGGUCAGGGAAUGCUUUCUUGAGCUGGGACCUGAAGGAUGAGAGCAAUUCAGACCAGAGAAGAAAAGUGCAAAUGUUCUGAAGCAGGGUGGAAUUUGUUACAUUCCUAGAACAGAGAAAAGGCCAGUGUAGCCACAGCACUGGGUCCAAAAGCCAGAGCAGCAAGAGGUAAGCUGGGAAAAGCUGGCAAGGGGUAGAGCAGUAAAGUUACUGAUAAUAAGUCUGUAUUUUAUUCUUAAUGCAAUGGAUGCCACUGGGGGGGUUUUGCUCAGGGAGUGACAUGAUCAGAUAUGUGUUUUACCAAGAUUACUCAGGCUGUCCUGUACAGAAAGAGCAAGGUCGCAGCAGAGAGAAAGGGGAGAGCAGCUAGGUGCUAUUACAAUAGUCCAGGCACAAUGAUGGCAGCUUGGCUAAGGUGGUGGCAGUGGGCACAGAGAAUAGUCAAUGGAGAGGUGAUACACUCUGACAGUACAGAAGACAGUACUUGCUGAUAGACUGGGUAUGAACAGAGAAAGUGAAAAAUAAAAGAGAAAAUUCCUGGGUACAUAAGUUGAUAUCCAAAAGCCCAGCCAGUUCUAGGUAGGUGUGCACAUGGCCAUGCUGAUGGCCCAUUCUAGAGUCACCGCCAAUAGGAUCUUCUCUGAGACAGGCUCUGGGUCCAGACAAGUCCCUUGCCUUCCUGAGGAAACUUAGUUUAUGAGGUGAGUUCAGCAAGGCCACUAAGACCUGGGGUCACAUAUAAAUAGAUCCUGUUCAUGGGAAGUCUGUCCAUGGAACACUAGCCUUGAAAUAUUUAUGGCCUUUUUUGAAAUGGUGUUCUGUGGUAGAAUGUUUGGGAAACAUUACUUAUUAUACUUCCUUCCUAGAGUCAUAAACGCACAUGAACUUUGUAAAACUCUGGAACGUCCUCUAACUAAAAAACCAUUUAACCCAGCACAUAUAUGGUCUUCACUCACUACACACUUUGGGUCUAGACUCUUCAUGUCUCUCCCUAUGGUGUUACCGUUCCUUGGAAUUCAAGCCAUAACAACAAGAAGAACAAUAGCAACUACUAUUUAUUGACUACUUACCUUGUGGGAGGCACGUUUGUAGACAUCAUCUCCCUUGCUACACACUAUGUACAGGUGCUAUUUUAAUUUACAGCUUUAAUUGUCAUUUGUGAGUUGUGCUCACAGAGCAUACAUUUACUUAGAAAAAAACAGCUAGGCACGGUGGCUCAUGCCUAAAAUCCCAGCACAUUGGGAGGUCGAGGCAGGGGGCUCACAUGAGGUCAGGAGUUCAAGACCAGCCUGGUUAACAUGGUGAAACCCCAUCUCUACCAAAAAUACAAAAAUUAGCCAGGCGUGGUCACAGGCACCUGUAAUCCCAGCUACUUGGGAGGCUGAGGCACGAGAAUUGCUUUAAUCCUGGAGGCAGAGGUUGCAGUGAGCCGAGAUCCUGCCACUGCACUCCAGUCUGGGCGACAGAGCGAGACUCUGUCUCAAAACAAAAACAAACAAACAAAAAACAGUGAUAUAUCUUUUCUGAUCAUAUAGAUCUGCAGUGCUCACUCACAGUAUUUUCUCAUGAAGCACUUAACAGAAAUUCUUCACUCAAUCGCCUCAUCUGCAUUUGCUUAACCCACUACAAUUAACAGAGUUUCCCACAUGCAUCACCACCUCCUUUCUUCCAGUCUUCCUCAUCACUAGUUUCCUCCUUCCUAUUUGUUCCACCCACUUCUAGGACAAGAACCAUUUGGGGACAGUUCAUCACAUGCUUUGAACGCUCUUAGGCUUAGAAUUCCUAACUUUUGUCUCUGUCUCAGAGACUGUCAUGACUUUCCGAAUAUGGCUACUGUCACAUCUGAGCCCACAGACUGGCAGUCUAGAACCUCAGCUAUCUGAGCCCCAAAUACAUGCACACACUUCAGCCUAGGCAGAGAAAAGACUUUUUACUGGAGUCAGAGUCAAACAACGAAUCACUGGAGAAUGAGGAAGUCUUUACAUUCCAGGCCACUGUAACAUGAGUAAUUACGGUCACUACACGACAAUGCCAUUUACACUGGGCAAAAUAAUGAUAGCAUUACCUGGAAAAUAACCCAAUCAACCAACGGAAACACAGCCACUGGGGAGGAACCCAGCUUGCUCUCUAAUCCACACAGCAAUUCCAUGGAGCAACUUAAACAGGAAAUGAAGAGACUUCUAUUUGAUCAAACGUGUAUGGGGAAUUUGGAGGAAAAACGCAAUUACCUAAACUGUAAAAUGACCAAUAUAGUGGGGUAGUCAUCCUCAAGCGCUGGUUGUUUUUACAGGAUUUCAUAUCCCUAUCACAGUUUAUUUUUGUCAAAAAAAAAAAAGUACCUAAAAUAGGACAUGUAAUAAACAAAAACCCCAACAUGGUUUCUUAUUAUCUAGCUUUUAUAUGUUCUUUUGUAGAAAAUGAAGAAACACAAAGACUCUUCUCCAAUUGUAUCUGUAAGAGGAAGCGGUUAACUUUGUAACUAUCCUUUAAAACAACAUGGUCCACAAGUAGCUUGGGGGGUUUUAUUAAGAAAUAAGGCUGCAGUGAGUGCUGAAAUUAUUAUACCCAGCAUUUAGCCAAGACUUGAAUGUCUGGCCUCUACUCAAAACAUUUCCCAGUCCCAUUCUCCCUUCUAGUUCCAUCUCCCAAGAAAGGAGAUUGAGAAACCCAAAAUGGACUCACACCUGAAGUGUGUUCCUACUGGGAACUGGGGUUUUCUUUGAUCAUUAUCAAGCCCUUGGUGCCACACAGAAAAUUACCCUUCUGUGGAACAGGAUGCAGACACCAAUUAAUGCAUAAAGUGAACGUCUUUCUCCUUAAAAUAAAUAGCUAAACCAGAAAAUCUGCAUCUCUGCAUGUGGCUGUCAGCAAGACCAAGGCCACACAGGAUAAGAAAGGAAAGAAAAUAGAAAAUGUCAAGGAGGGAAAACUAGAGGAAGGGGAACAAAGCAUAAACAGACACAUUCCUGAAAAACUGUUGGGACUCUAGGGAGAAGCCAGGUGAAUUUCCUGCUUCUGAUGUAGGCCUCAGCUUGUCCCUGUAGCACCAUAAUUAUAGCACAUAGUGCAAAACCAGGGAUGGUGGUGCCCUGGGAGAAGCGAAGCUGCGUGCUCCUUGAGUAUUUGUGAAUGACUGGCAAGCAUACAUCUGCCUCCAUCCCAAAGCAAGUUUUGUGAGCUCAGCUGAGCCACCAAGAAGCCAUGCUGGGCCCUCCUGGUAGGGACCACGACAGUAAAGGGAACUCAGUAUGUCUGAGUCUUUGCUCAGGGUGAGCAUCUGUAUUUCUGUUUCAAUAGUGUUUAGCCUCUCUGAUAGAAAUUCCACUGUAUCAAUUUCACACUACAGUUUAGAUGAGCCAGGUAUAUAUGUGUGAAGGGGAUCAGAAAUUUCUUGGACCAUCUUUGAGGUCCCAUCCAUUUUCAUUUUCUCUGUCACAAAUGUUAUGCCACAAACUACAAACUUGGGCCCUCUCAAUAGCUAAAAAUACAUGUAAUUAGCCCAACCCUUACAGAAGCUAAUAGGAUAUGUUGGCUGUGGGAUUAGGGAGGGAAAACCUAUCUCUUAUUUUUGGAAUAUGGUAGGGAAUGAGUGAAUGAAUGACACGCACUUAUUAAAUUCAUUAACAGGCAAACUUCACACCAUAAAAAUAAGCACUGGUCUAUGUGCCUAGGCUUAGAAAGAAAUUAGGCAGUAUAACAGAAGUCAAACACUAAACUAAAUUAAAACAAAACAAAUGCCACAGGAAUUUUUGUGAGAAAAGUCUCACCAUUAGAGCUAUAGGGAGAUGGCCAUGUUCUCCUAGUGGUGAAAUUUAAGUCAGUGUCUAUUUGUGUGUGUGCAUGUCUCCUUGUGUAUUCUGUAUGUACACAGACACAUAUCCAUGCGCGCGCGCACACACACACACACACACACACACACACACACAGUCUACCCUGGGGCACAGCCAAUUUUAAUUCAAUUCUAACCUGUACUGUACCCUUACUAGAAAACCCACCUCCAAUAUUGAGCUGGCUGGUUCCCCAGUCAGAUCAAUAGCACAAUUUAGCACAUGAGGAUUUUCUACUGAGAUUCGGGAACUGGAGUACAGGCAGGGUACCAAGCAUUUCAGCAGGACUAAAACAUCUCCAUUGGCCUUUGCUUACUGUGUUCACCUUAACAAGUCACUUGAUUAACCAUUGGGUCAAAGCCAAAGACCAGUGCCCAUGGGCUGUAAUAAGAGCCUGAUCUGACCAGAGAUCAGGGCCAGGGGAGCAGGGCAGGCAAUUCAUUAAUACUUGUUCAGGAGCCCCUGGAUCCUGAUCACGGGCCAGGCAACAUGAUGAGAAGGUAAUAAGAAACAUUCCAGAAAACAAAAUUAGGGUCCAUGCAAUAGUUUCAGACAACUAUUUUUGUAAGCCAUUUGCAAUACUGCAUCAUUAUUUUUCAAAGAAAAUGUGAACAUUUACAGAAGUGAGAAAAAGUUUUGUUUGCUUUUGUUUUUCAAGUAAGUUCAAUAAAUCCCAAAUUGCACACUCUGAAUUAGGGGUUGUCUUCCCUUUUUCCCCCCAAAAUUUCUCGAUCGACUACAAGGAGACCCAGGACUCUUCAUUUCUUCCCCAGUGUUGUUGAGCAGUUGGCUUCUGAAGUGGAAAAUCAAGUGAUUCAUUUCUGUAGAGUAAACAGCAUUUGGGAUUCCUGGGCAUGAAGACUGUUCAGGUGCCACAUGCUGUACUGUUUAUAUUCCACUCACUACAUGGCGAGAGAAGGUAAAGGACACAAGAUGCCUCCUGUUUUUAUUCACUCUGUUUUCUCAUACUUGAGCCAGCCUAUCUUUCAAACUGUUCUUCGCUAGGCUGUAAAUCACCCUAAGAGUGAAUCAAAUAUCCCAAUUCCAUUAAGUAGAAUAUUUUUAUAAUCUAGCCUAGAAUAUCCGCCUCCUUUUACAUGAAUAGGAUUUCAAAGCUGCAUUUUAGAGCCCACCUACUCUAACCCCCAUAUUUGGCAGAUGAGGAGUCAGGUGGCUGCUCAUUACCUGGGGUGCCACUGUCUGUCCUGAGUUAUUCGUCCCAGCCCAUCUCUGGCCAGUAAAUGGAGGUUUGUUUGAAGCCAGCUCACACCAGGGAUGUCUGUAAACUCAGCCACAGUUUCAGCCAGCACGCUGCUAUCUUCACUCUGAACCUUUCAAGGCAGCUGAAUCCUGACAGUCUCAUAGAUUCACUCACCUGUUUCCUAUGUGUGCGGCUCAUUGCCAGUCCCCCGGGACAGUUUAAGACUAACUAAGAAAACUGGGGAAACGAGUGAGGACAGGCAACCAAAGUAAGAGCUGCAGAACCAUGCAGAUUGUGCUAAAAAGGCACAGAGCCAAGCAGACAGUGUCUAGACUUUAACUGGCCUCUCCCAGAGAAGAGGCGUGCAGGGAGGAGGGGAGAGCAAGGCCGGAAAGCCUGCUCGGGUUUUGUUCAGCUAAUGCAAACACAUGACAGAACCUCUGACAGGCUCCAGGCUGGGGGUUCACUCGAAGUCAUUUCUUCCCAGGGGCUGGAAUUCAGCUGGAGGCUGAGGAAAUUCUGCUAAUCCAGCAAUCAGAAGGAAGCUGGGAAUACUUGUUUUAAUUCCUGGGGAAUCACAGUUCCCAAACUAGACUGACUUGUGCAACAGCCCGAAGUAGCACACUGUGGGUACAAGAAACCAGAUAUUUAAGAUUUCCAUGUCUAUCAUCUCUGCUUAUCUAUGAAGAAAAUCUACAAAAACACAGAACUGGCUUUUGAUGGAGGCCUAGUACAAAAACUUUGCAAGAGUCUAAAUGAAAUCAAUUUAUAAGAUGCACAAAUGUAGAAAUGACUGCCAUAGUCUAAUAAACAACACAUGACUCAGAGAUAAUGUUGGGUUUGGGGACCUUUGCACAUAAGUUAGAAAAAAAGGUGCUCCUUCCUGUGGGUGGGCAGACAAGCCCUGUGCCACACACAGGUACAUGACACACUUGUGCAGUGAACAGUCUGUACAACCCCACCUAGCAACUCUGCUGGCGUUUUAGAGCUGUCUUGCCAUUUGGCCUUAUUUAAUGUGGAACAGUUGUGAAUACAUCUGAAGAACAAAGAAAUUGCCUUAAAACAUCCCCGAAGGCUGGGCACUGUGGCUCACGACUGUAAUGCCAGCACUUUGGGAGGCUGAGGAAGGAGGAUCGCCUAAGCCCAGGAGUUAGAGACCAGCAUGGGCAACAAGGUGAAACCCUGUCUCCACUAAAAACACAAAAAUUAGCUGGGCCUGAUGGCACAUGCCUGUAGUCCCAGCUACUCUGGAGGCCGAGGUGGAAGGAUUGCUUAAGCCAGGAUGUAGAGGCUGCAGUGAGCUAAGAUUGUGUCACUGCUCUCCAGCCUGGGCAACAGAGCAAGAUCCUGUGUCAAAAAACAAAACAAAACAACCGCUACAAAAAAAACCCCCCAAAACUCCUAAGUCACUGACCAUUAGGCUGCAAAUGCUCCAUUGUAAAAACUGCAUUCCAAUGUGACUCAGAAGUAACUGGACCUAAUUCCAAAUGGAGGUCAUGUCUGCCAUGUCUAUGUGGCCAGAAUGGCCAAGCCUGAAGUGUCAUUCCAGGCACAUAGCCAUAUAACAACUGAUGUUACCUGGAAAGUUAAAUGACUGGGGCCUCUACAAUGCUGAAUGGAUGUUACUUAGCAGAAGUGUCUUUGGUUUUCAAACUUCCAUAAGACACAGUGACUAUCAGUCAUUUUUCAGAGCUCAGCUGGUGGCUCACUUCCUCCUGGAAGUGCUCCUGAGCCCUUCAUGCUGGGUUAGGUUUUCAGCCCUGUCCUAAUACUUCUCACAUUGCAUCACUUUGAGCCUGUGUUCCUGUCUGCCUCCCCUCCGGACUCUUUGGGAACAAGCUCUUUGGGCACAAGGUCUCUUAUCCACCAGCACUAACUCGGUGCCUGACAGAGAACAGAUUUGCAAUACCUUUUGCUUUCCUCUUUUGAGCUGACUUUGAAAAAUUUUACUUUGUCCCAGAUGAGUGAUGCAAAAUAGUGUAUUGAGACUUUGUGAAGUUUUAUCUCUGCAUCUAAUGUGAACAUGGUGGUUCGUGAAUGUUUGGCAGCUCCUACUGCGGCCCAGACACUUCAGGAUGACCUCUCUGUAACGGUGAGAGAAGGAAAAUAGAGGAGAAAGAUGAAGCGAAGAGCAAAGAGCAACAUAAGGAGUUGUACAGAGAGCUGGCUCAAAGGCCAGGAGGGGUGGGCAUGUGAGGCUGGCAUCGGACUGGCUGCAGACACAGCAGCCCCUCCCUAGUGGGACUCCAGGUCUGUGUGCAAAGUACCAGAAGCUGUGGACUUGGCUCCCAAAGGGACAAAUUCCAGCUUGCUCCAGGAAUACUUCUUACCCUGUCUUUGAGAGUAAUUGGCGCUUAUUUUUGAAAUAAUGAAAGCAAAGGAUCCUACUCCUUUGCAUUAUCACAUUUUCCACACCAACAAUUUGGAAUUUAUUGCCUGGUAACAUGCCAUGCUAUGAAGACCACAGCAAAGUGGAAAUGACUACCCAAGAUAUCUGUUUGCCACCUCCAUACAUACCUCUUUUUUUGCCUUUUCUUUCUGUUUUCUUCCCAGUUAUUUCCAUUCACUCACUCUACCUUUAGGGAGAACCUAUGCUGGCUUCCAAUCCUACUGUCUCUGCACAGGAGAUGCUCCAUGAGUACUUCAAUCUCUUCCUGGAGGAAUGAUAGAACUGUGGCUUCACAGAAGAAACACUACAUAGAAGUUUAAGGGCAAGAUUAGCUCAGUAGAAGCAAGGGUUGUGGUAUAAAUUCUGGACCUUAAAGCAUCCACUGAAGUAAAUAUCCUUGUUUUCUCUUUAAAAAAGAAGGUGAUACUUAAAUCUCUGGAGAGAGAAAAAUAAGCAAGGAGACUUCUGCAUGCCAUGAGCACACAUAUACACGUGCAUGAAUGUGUGCACAAACACAUGUGUGUACACACGUGUACACACACACACACAUACACCAUGACUUUUGGAGUUCAUCCCAUAGAGAUGCCCCGAGGAUGAUAAUACCAACUAACACUGCACACUGUGUGCCAAAACACUUUGCUUUACAUGUAAGAGCUUAUUUAAUUCUCACAACUAACCUAUGGGGUAGAUACUCUGGAUGAAGCCCAUUUUAGAGAUGGGGAAACAGGCUCAGAGAGGUUUUAAGUAGUCUUCCCAAGAUCACAUGGCUAGUAAGGGCAGUGCUAGGAUUUAAUCUAGCUUCCAGGUCUGAGCGCUAAGCCAUUAUGUUAUACUUCCUCUCAAGGAAAAAUCAGUAAUCAGAAUAAUAACCUGAGCCAGCACAAAGGCUGUGCAAAUAAAGACCAUGCCUAGUGGAUGUUUACUUGUAUAUUGAGGAUUCUCCUGGUGAAAUCAUUACAGAGUCAAAAACAUAAGCAACCCUUCAUCUCUUGCAGGUAUUUGUUUUUGGUGUUGACUAUACACCAUGAGUAGAGGAGACCUUUUCCAUGAUCUAAUCGAGUAGACAGGUAGAGACACAGGAAUGAUUCCCAUUCUACUGGUAAGGAAAGUGACUUCGGGGAGGUUAAGUAACUUGCACAAGGCCUCACAGCUGGACAAGGCCAGAAUUCAAACUCAGUCCACUGCCCCAAAGCCCUUGCUCUUAACUGAAGCUACAAGUUAGAGACAUUAUGUGACUUUAAAAAGGUGCCCAGAAAAGGGCACAGCAGGACUUCUAAGUCAGACUCUUUCAUUGUUCUACAGUGUUGCUCUUAAUAACAAAAUGGGUUUGUUACAGAGUCUAUGAAAAAGAGAGAUUUAGGCCUGGCAUCGUGGCUCAUGCCUCUAAUCCCAGCACUUUGGGAGGCUGAGGUGGGUGGAUCACUUGAGGUUGGGAGUUUGAGACCAGCCUGGCCAACAAGGUGAAACCCCAUCUCUACUAAAAACACAAAAAUCAGCCGGGUGUGGUAGCAGGCGCUUGUAAUCCCAGCGGGACUCCAUCUCAAAAAAAAAAAAAAAAAAAAAAGCAGACUUGGAGACACCCAGAAAUGAGAACAAGAAAAGACAAGGAAAAUGGGAAGAGAAAAACAGUAGACCCCCGGAACGGUCACAAGGUAAGAUAAAGUUCCACACAAAAAGCUGCCAUCUACUGGACACACUGAUUAGGUGGACAGGCUGAAAAGGGCCCCAGCUGCCCAAGUGGAGUCUUUCAAAUUCUGAGAAGGCAGGGGCUAUCUAUCCCACUGCCAUGUUUCAGGAUUUUCUGAAGUAGUGGCAAGAGGUGAGGAAGGGGAAUUUCUGCUAAAGCCUUACAUCUGACCCCUAAUGGCCAAGCAGCGAUGGUGGUAGCAGCUCCUUCAGAACAGGGAUCUGUAUGGUAAGGCUUUUUAGUCCCACACUGUUCCUAGUAGUAGCUUAUGUGUAAACUGACUAGCAUAAUGCCUGACACUUCUGUAGAUCAAUAAAUUACACUUAUUAACUGUCAUUGAAGGAUAAGAGGAAAGACGGGGAAAAGACAAAUUUUGCCUCAGACAUAGGAUUUUAAAUCUUGAAACAAAAAGUAUAGAAAGACAGAGAGAUGUUUUCCUCUCACCAAUUCAAGCCAAUAUCCCAUGACAUACACACACACAUGCACACAUGCAUGCACAUAUAAAUCUGGGCCUGCAACAUGUGAUAGCUUUUGUCAUGUAUCACAUGACUUAUUUGUCAACAGCUUGGUUGGUCACAAACAGUGUCUGGGAUUAUUCAAGGGACAUAUGGGGGUCAUACGUUCAGACUUAAUCCUGGGAAAUAGUUUAUUGGUGAUGGCUUCCAAAUGAGCAUCUGAAGUCUGUGAAAAGAUGAAAUGGAAAUCCUCCAACCAAAGCAGGAAAUGAAGAUUUAUGGGAAUUAUUUUGUACUCCAGCUACCCAAAGAGCAUUCUAUUAGCAAAUUAUUGCCAGGCUGCUGUUAAUGCAAAAGCUGUUAUCUACGACAGCAGCAGCUCUUAGAACUUUAGCAAGAGCAACUAUUCACUUCAUCAGAAUAGCCAAGAAAAUUCUCGUUAUAUUUUUGUUGAUGGGGCCAAUGUUAGAAGGUCUGGCUUAUUUUAAGGUGUUCAGAUUCAUCCAAAGAGCUUAGAAGCUUGGGCCAAAAUCUGGUGUAAGUGCUGUUUUCCUGACAUUUCAUCCAUUUGCUAACCCCGUUCUAUCACCUAUUACCCCAUGUUGUUUUUGUCAGUUUCAUACAGUCCCAAACUCUGCCUUCUAAUUAUCUUGAUUUUGGCUAAAGAUGUGUCAAUGUUUGUCAAAUUGGACUGAUCUACCAUCCAGCAGGGAUGGUAAAUAGCUUUCAUCUCAUAUAGACUCUGAUUGCUAGUGACCACCUAGAACAUUGCUGAGUAGGAUUUUCAAACCUUCUCCAAGUUCAGUAGGAAAGAAUUCUACGAUUGAUUAGAAAUGUCUGCCAUGGGUAACAGAGAGAGUAGUGGUAAUACGUAUGCCAUGUCUGUGCCAUCUCUGAAAGGCCAUUUACCACCCCACCUUUUUCUCCUUAAGCAAUCCCUGAAGUCCUGCCCCUUGGAUAUUUCACCCAGUGCCUUGACACCAUGACGAUUCUUGUGAUCCCCUCCUUUUUUUGAGAGGAAUUUUCCCUUCUCCUAAUAUGUAUUUUAUUUAAAUAAAAAAGUUAAUGUGUUAUUUUCUGAUAAAAUAUGAAAAUAAAAUAUGCUAAUUAAAAGCUUAGAGAAUAUAGAAAAGACUAGAGCAAAGAAUAAAAUGACCCAUAAAUCUACUACCUACAGAUAAUUUCUAACAGAUUUGUUUGUUGUACUUUUCUAUAAAUUUUUACAGUCGUGAGAAUAAAGCUGGGGGGUGUGUGCUUUUUAAAUUAAAUUAUAAUCAUUUGCCAGAGCUUCAAAAUGUUUUUGUAAAUGCUUUUGGUGGCACAUAUAGCUGUUCCAUGAUUUAUUUAACCCUUCUAUGGUUGACUAUGUAGUCAGUGUUAAGUUUUUUGCUGUCAUAAAUAACAUGACUGACAUCUUAUGUAGAGUCCUUUCAAAAGUAAUAAUAACCAGGGCAAAAUGGUCUAACAGAAUGAUUUGAGUUCUUUGCUGAAUUUAAUAUAGAUUACAGUGAGCCCUGGAAUAUCUAUCCAUCCACAAAACAGUCAAGAAAGCUCCCCAAAGCUGAUCUAAAGUUUACUAAAAUGGAUUCAUGUCAAUUAAGGCUGUAUUUCACUGUGUUUGCUGCACAUCCUUGUAGCUAACAAGGAAAGCCAUUCAUUGUUAACAAGUUAAAAUGUUAAAAAUAACAUCCAAAUAGGAAGUCUCAUAUAUAGAGGGUUAAUUUAUCUUUCAUUAAUUAUUGAAGGUUUGCUGUUGUUAAAACAUGGAUUAAAAACUUGCCAAAUGUUACCUGGGCUAGACACCAAGAGAAGAGACAGAUUAAAAGAUAGCCAUCUUUGGCGCAGAGUCACGAAAUGUACCCUAGAUCAUCCCUAUCCCUCAUUUUCUUCAUGGUAACUUUUCCUGUAUGUAACUUCAUGGUAACAUACAGGUUCAUACCUUUCUGUACCAACUCCCUCAGUCUUGUUGCAUGGUGCCUACAUGGGCCAGAUGUAAAAGUUCAUGAAGCUAUAUAUGGAAGAUUUGUGCAUUUUGCUACCAUAAAAGGAUCUUACAAAGGAAGGCCCUAUAUUAAUGUAAAUUUUAAAAAAAACAGCAAUAACAAGCAUAAAGCUACCAGUUACUAUGUAGUUAUAAUAAUAUAAACUGUAGCUGCCACAAUUUAAAGCACCUGGACCCACCGCUGGAUUGUAAAUAAUGUGAGGGCAGAGACCACGCCUUGUGCUUACUGUGACUCUGACCUGAGUACCAGGUGUGCUCAGCUGCAGCAGGGGAUAGACUCGAUGAGGACAGUGAAGGGAAGGCCAUGCCACUCAUGGCGUACUCUCAGAGAAAGCGCCCCUUGCCAAAAUCGCAGGAAUCAGAAUAGAGCAUCCUAGACAAAAAGUAUGCAUUUGCCCUCUGAGGACAUUAAUCAUCUGGCUUACAAAGUGAACCUAUCUAACUCUACUUUUUUUCUCUAUUAACUGGUAUCAUUAAGCUAAUAAAAUUUAUGUCUGUUAGAAACAUUCUGCCAGAUGUCCAGUUAUUUGAAGAGGACUAAGACAAAGAAUCCAUGACAUUUUCAGUUCUCAUAUGUGAUCACUGGUAUUUACAGCUCAUCCUUUACUUCCUGUUCAUGUGGCAGCAUGUGUUGCUCUGCCUCACUGACUUCGAAGACUUUCUUUUCGUCUUUGGGGCAUUUCCUCUGGGAUCAUUACCUCCACUUCAGCCCAUGACCAGAUCUUCACCUCAUGGUUCCUCUCCAACUUGCUUCUAUGAGCCUGGGGAUGGAGUCCUAGUUUCUGUCACCCAAUCCAGAGACUUCUAAGGGAACUGUAACGUGUCCACCUUCUAAAGCCACUUGCAAUGGCCAGGGCCUCGUAUGCUGGGUGCUUGCCCUUCUGUUCUGGCUAGUCUGCAGAGUCCCUGCUAUGUUUUACACCCCAAUUUCCAGCAAUGGUCUUUAGAAUUGCAACAAGUAGCUUAUUUGCCAAAGGAUAAACAAGCAAGAGAUCAUUUUAGAGAUCUUUUUAGCUUUGUUAAUAAUACAAGUUGUGGCACCAAGAAGAUGCAGUCAGAGAUACGGGUUAGAUGCAAGGCUUACUUGAGUCUACCAUCAGAACAAUUCUAAAGAACAUAGAGGAGCUCCCAAAUAUAACCCCUAGUGGUUAAUUAUAUGCCGAUAAUAGGGUACAAUGAGGUUAAGAAACGUGGCCUCAGGACAAAGCCCUCAUAAUCUUCUAGUAUUGCACGUCUAGAGCUAAGUGAAGUACAUCUGUUUGUAGAAUUGCUAUUGUUCUCUCUUAGGUAAUGCACUCAAAGUUCAUGGGUCAAGCAUGGAUCCCUUACUGGAAUGAGGAUUCUGAACUACAAAUCAGUUAACUGUACAUGCGACUUAUCAUAAUGAAUUUCUAGACCUGGAAUGCUGAGAAUCAUAGUGACGGCAGAGACAUCCGCCAGGGGAGAGUUGGGGUAUGCUUUGGUACUUGCCAAGGCUGUCUUCCUAAAGCAGGCAGUUGGGCCACAGGGUUCUCUCCAGCCUGCCAUGUUAGAGUGACAGAUACCCACUGACUGAGCUUCAAGGGCACACACACUACCGCCUGUGUUCUUAACAUUUUCCCAGGCUCCAUACUAUGCAUCCACCAUCAACACUUCUCAAUGAACUGUAGUAACUCCCAAUGGGAGGGAGAUGGGAAAGGGUAGAUGAGCAGGCUCACACAGCCCUCUCCCCAGAGAAUCUAGAAAAGGGGUAUCUGUGUAAUUGUUAGUGGAGGCACUCCCUCUGCUGCUGCCCUCUCUGCCUAGUCCAUUCACAUGUUAAUCUACACACAUCUAGAGACAUAUGCUACACCCAGUACCUUCUUUUAAGCAGACUACAGAGUGCAUGGGUGUGUGUGCUCAGGUGAUGUGGCAGAAUCUGGAGGGAGGCUGGCUGAAGGUAUAUGCUGCAGACAGAGUAGUAAGAGAGUGAGCAGGUAAGAAAGAGAAGAAGCAAUCAGAAAGCAACCCUGAGGUGCCAAGGAAGUAGGAGACCAUGGAACACAUUCAAAACAAUAUGACACUUUGCUUAAUGAGUUUGUUUCUAUUUUUUUAAAUACAAGGUUUCGCUCUGUUGUUCAGGCUGGAGUGCAGUGGCACCAUCAGGGCUCACUGCAGCCUCAGCCUCCUGGGUUCAAGUGAUUUUCCUGCUUCAGCCUCCUGAGUAGCUGGGACCAGAGGCGUGUGCUACCAUGCCCAGCUAAUUUUCUUAUUUUUUGUAGAGAUAUGGUCUCACCACGUUGCCCAGGCUGGUCUCAAAUUCCUGGGCUCAAGCAGUCCUCCCGUCUUGGUCUCCCAAAGUGCUGGGAUUACAGGCAUGAGCCACUGAGCCCAGGCUCCUUAAUGACUUUUGUUAAUAGUUUUGUGAAUCCAACCAAAUGGGAUUGACAUAGACUGGCAUUAAUACUGAUGACAAUCACCUUUUCCCAAGUGGAGAGCACCUCUGAUUCUGGUUUACUACAGAGGCUCUGGCUUCUUCAAAUAUCAACAUGAUUUGUAAAGCGAUUAAAUUGUUUAAAAAUAUGCUGAAUUAAAUAUUUAUGGUUGCAGAAAAGCAGAAAGCACAAAGAAGCCUCAAUUUAUUUUCUAAAUUUCAUUUCUAAAAAGUUCAACAAUAUUUGUACAAUUUUAGCGAUCUGAAGUUUACUAAAAUAGAUUCAUGUCACUAAAGACUGUAAAUAUCAUGAUGUGACCAUUUCUGCAGACUGUCCUUAGAGUUAACAAGGAAGAAAUUUAAACAGCAAGCACCAUUAACUACAAGAUAAAAUGCUUUUAAAAAAUCCAUAUUACAAUUCCCAUAGGGAGAGGGUUAACGUACCUCUUCAUCAAUAGUUAAAGGUAUAUUAUUAUUAAAUGGAUUAAAAACUUGCCAAAUGUUACUUGGCCAGGCACCAGGAGGUUGGAAUAAUUAAAAGAUAAUAAUCCUUAAUAACCUGGAGCCAUGAAAUGUAAUCUAGCUCAUACCUACCCCUCACUCUUUUCAUUGUAACCAUUUCCACACACUGUGAAUUCACAGCCUUCUUUCUCCACCAACGCACUCUGUUUCCACAUCUCAGUACUUCUCUAUUUUGCCUUCUUCCCUGUAGAGUUUGCCUGGGAAUUCUGUGAGAGCACUGGAUGCUCUUCUACCUCCAGCAGGAAAUUGCUGCUGGGGGAACUUCCUACCAGGGAUAAGUUUUCCCUGUGAGGAAGGGGGUUGGGAGGGGUGUGUGUCUUGCAGGCCGCCUAGAAUAGAUCCCAGACCUUGGGCCACACAGCCUGGUGAGUGAACCAACAGCCUCCUCACACCUCAUAUUUGCAUUCCAGUUCACUGAGUGAUUUCACACACUGGCUGGCAAUUCUUAAGCCUCCUGGAAAACCAACCAGGGAUUCACCUCAUCCAUCACUGGUCUGCAACUGCCUUUUGAGGGCCACAGCAGGGGAUGGAGGAAUGUUUCUUAAUCAGGGCUACAUCAGCCAGUGAAGGGGGAUACGCUCUCAAAUGCAAAUCUUGGAAAACUAAAUGGAUAAGAAGCAGACCUGGAGUUCAAGAUGGGCUCCAAAGGUAGAGAGGUGGGUUCAGAUCCUGCUUCAGAGCUAACUAGUUGUAUGACCCUGGGCAAAUUACCUAAUCUCCUUAAACCUGUUUCCUCCUCUGUAAAAUCCGGAUAAUAAAGCCUACAUUACAGGGUUUGGGAGCUUUAAAAGAAAUAACUGCAGGUAACGUACACAGCCCAGUGUGUGGUAUACAAAAAUGUACUUGGUAAAUGUUAAACCAUUGUGCUUGGAAGUGGUGUAGGCUAAUGGUCAAGAGCCUUGGGUCCGGAGCCAGACUGUUUGUGUUCAAAUCCCACCCUUAGCAUUUAAUAGCUGAGAGCAUUGGGUAACCUUCUCUGACUCAAUUUAUCUGUCAUUAAAAUGGAAUUUUAUUACAACAUAGCAGAUAUUUAAUAAAUAUUAGCUACUUUUAUUUCAUUGGGAGUAAAAACAGUUGACUGAGUUUCCACCUUAAUCAACAACGUAGUAGUGAAUUAAAUGAGAAUUCAGUACAAUGCGUAUUUUUAAAAAAUUGUGAACACCUUGUAUGCAUUUAUGACUUUUUUGGGUAGAGUCAAGCUGCGAUGCUAAGGGUGUGGUUAAACUGUAAUAUGAAGGAAAAAAUUCAAACAGGGAGCAUAAACCACCCACCAGGGAGCUAUUUCUUUUGUAAUGUGCAUUCCAUUUCUUCUCCCUCAUGCUUUUUAAUUCCUUCCAUAUUUCCUGCCAUAAUUAUCAAAUGUUUAGUUUCUGACCUCACUUUCCUGGAGACUGGAGCCCGGGGAAUUUAGAAUUGUUUAUUUUCUGUCCAUAAACCCUUGAGUUAAUGGAGGGGCUUCUGAGCAGAGUUUGUUGGUUUGUUUGCAGUGUCUCAGGAAGGUCGUUAGAGUUGAAAAAAUUGGUACAAAAAAACAAGCGCUGAAAUGCUUUAACUGGAAACUCGAGCCCCCAAAGAGCAGAGCAAUGGAUCUUCUCUUACACUUGCGCAACGUUACAGGGAACACUUCGAAAAGGCCGUUACAUUGCCCAGAUGAUAACACAAAACCCGAGGACACUUCACAAAGAAGAAAAUACAUUUCAGGGAAUCAUGAUCUCACUUUAAAAGAGAGAAAGGAAAAUUAAUUUUGCCCCAAAAGAAGAAUCCCGAUUCCUCUGCCCCCGCCCCCAGGAGACAGACUUGGGAGGGAAAAGUCCCCAACUACUCUCAGUCUCCUCUGAAGUGAAGGACGGAACUGAGGCGCCUUUUUGAACUCGCUGCUGCUCCAGUCGCCGCCUCGUCCCCGUCGGCCCAGCCCGUCCCCUCUCCUCCUCCCCGCUCUCCCUCCAUGUUAGCCGCGGCAGGGCUCCCGCUUACGGCCCGAACUACUUUUCCUGCUUUAGAGAUUUAAGUUUCGUGAGCAGCAUUCCUGCCCGCAGCACUGCCCCAGCUCCACCCCAGCCCACCCCAAGGACCGAAACUCCCAGCGCCGCCCCGGGAGAGCAUCCCCAGGACGCGCGCCCACCCGCCCAGCGCGCAGACCCAAGCGGCCCUGGGGACCGAGUUCGGACUCCUCGGCCCCUCGCCUACCUCGGCGCGGACCCAGGCGACCGCCACCAGCGCGAGCGCGAGCCAGCGUUUCCACAUCUGCGGAAGAGAGAACAGAGCGAGUCUGAAGGCGCUGGGCCCCGCGCCGACCUGGGAAACUUGCUCGGGUCCCUCAGGCUCGCUCCCGCCGCCCAAGCACCCCCGGCCGAACGAAGAGUCCGGCCUCGGCGCCGUGCGCCCUGCGCUCACCAUGGUCCGGUCCAGGUCUCCGGGGGGCGCGGGGCAGGACGGCCGCAGCGAGCUCUAAACGGAGGUGGGAGCUCCGCGGAUCGCCAGCCUCGGAGGA